GACGAACGCUGGCGGCGUGCUUAACACAUGCAAGUCGAACGGAAAGGCCCUGCUUUUGUGGGGUGCUCGAGUGGCGAACGGGUGAGUAACACGUGAGUAACCUGCCCUUGACUUUGGGAUAACUUCAGGAAACUGGGGCUAAUACCGGAUAGGAGCUCCUGCUGCACGGUGGGGGUUGGAAAGUUUCGGCGGUUGGGGAUGGACUCGCGGCUUAUCAGCUUGUUGGUGGGGUAGUGGCUUACCAAGGCUUUGACGGGUAGCCGGCCUGAGAGGGUGACCGGCCACAUGGGGACUGAGAUACGGCCCAGACUCCUACGGGAGGCAGCAGUGGGGAAUAUUGCACAAUGGGCGGAAGCCUGAUGAAGCAACGCCGCGUGCGGGAUGACGGCCUUCGGGUUGUAAACCGCUUUCGCCUGUGACGAAGCGUGAGUGACGGUAAUGGGUAAAGAAGCACCGGCUAACUACGU
Molecule: ribosomal RNA, 467 nt
Filed under: uncultured bacterium
Lineage: Bacteria
Description: partial 16S ribosomal RNA
Rfam family: Bacterial small subunit ribosomal RNA
Source: RNAcentral